This 455-nucleotide ribosomal RNA is filed under the name uncultured bacterium. RNAcentral describes it as "bacterial SSU rRNA". It matches the Rfam family "Bacterial small subunit ribosomal RNA", at positions 8 to 463 of the family's 1533-position model. The record is from RNAcentral.
AGAGUUUGAUCCUGGCUCAGAUUGAACGCUGGCGGCAUGCUUUACACAUGCAAGUCGAACGGCAGCACGGGUGCUUGCACCUGGUGGCGAGUGGCGAACGGGUGAGUAAUGCACCGGAACGUACCCAGUAAUGGGGGAUAACACAUCGAAAGAUGUGCUAAUACCGCAUACGCCCUGAGGGGGAAAGCGGGGGAUCGUAAGACCUCGCGUUAUUGGAGCGGCCGAUGCCGGAUUAGCUAGUUGGUGAGGUAAGAGCUCACCAAGGCGACGAUCCGUAGCUGGUCUGAGAGGACGACCUGCCACACUGGGACUGAGACACGGCCCAGACUCCUACGGGAGGCAGCAGUGGGGAAUUUUGGACAAUGGGCGCAAGCCUGAUCCAGCCAUGCCGCGUGAGUGAAGAAGGCCUUCGGGUUGUAAAGCUCUUUCGCAAGGAAAGAAAACUUAUCUACUAA